UCGGUAUGGGAUGGGGAUGCGUUCCAUUAGUUAGUUGGCGGGGUAACGGCCCACCAAGACAACGAUGGAUAGGGGUUCUGAGAGGAAGGUCCCCCACAUUGGAACUGAGACACGGUCCAAACUCCUACGGGAGGCAGCAGUGAGGAAUAUUGGUCAAUGGACGAGAGUCUGAACCAGCCAAGUAGCGUGAAGGAUGACUGCCCUAUGGGUUGUAAACUUCUUUUAUAUGGGAAUAAAACGUUCCACGUGUGGAAUUUUGUAUGUACCAUAUGAAUAAGGAUCGGCUAACUCCGUGCCAGCAGCCGCGGUAAUACGGAGGAUCCGAGCGUUAUCCGGAUUUAUUGGGUUUAAAGGGAGCGUAGGUGGAUUGUUAAGUCAGUUGUGAAAGUUUGCGGCUCAACCGUAAAAUUGCAGUUGAAACUGGCAGUCUUGAGUACAGUAGAGGUGGGCGGAAUUCGUGGUGUAGCGGUGAAAUGCUUAGAUAUCACGAAGAACUCCGAUUGCGAAGGCAGCUCACUGGACUGCAACUGACACUGAGGCUCGAAAGUGUGGGUAUCAAACAGGAUUAGAUACCCUGGUAGUCCACACAGUAAACGAUGAAUACUCGCUGUUUGCGAUAUACAGCAAGCGGC
Molecule: ribosomal RNA, 632 nt
Filed under: uncultured bacterium
Lineage: Bacteria
Description: bacterial SSU rRNA
Rfam family: Bacterial small subunit ribosomal RNA
Source: RNAcentral